UUUGCAUGUCAUUCCCGAUAAAUAUUCCCAAUAACCUGUAUAAAUACUUGUAGUAAAAUGUUAGUGACAAAUAAACGACUACCAAAAUAAAUUGAGAACGUAUGUGUGCAUAUAUGUAUAAAAAUAUAAUUUUUCGUUAGAAGGUAGGCUUAGAUUGAAUUUUAAAUAUGACAUGGCUACGAAAUGAUUUGCUGAUUUAUUAGUUGUCCUAAAUCAUCUUGUCAAGAUACGAAUCAUAAAACUUUUUGCGUUGUUAUUAAAAUUUUGUCAUUGCCCAAUUUUUUUUUUUUUUUUUUUUGCAUAUUUAUAUACAUAAUAUCCAUUUUUUAUUUAUGCAGACCUCGAAAAUUAAUGGAAAAUUUCUUCACCAACCAAAUAUUAAUAAUAUUUUCAAACCCAACAUUCAAUAAAACCAACAAAAUAGUACAAAAGUAAAUGGCAUAAAAUCAACAACAACCUGUAGCCAACGAUAACACAAUAAAUCCACUAUAAGUCCUUUAGAAAGUACAUGAAACCAAUUGAUAACAAUAUAAUAUUAUUAACAAAAAUAAGACAGCAAAUGGACAAACUAAUUUUCAAUGAAAAUAAAAUUUGAGCUCAUAACAAAACAAUCAACAACAAAAGCAAACAGUGGCGAAAUUUAAAGCAAAUAACCAAGCUCAAAAACGUUCACUAAAAAAUUAAAAGAAAUAAAUAAAUCAAAAGAUAAAAUAAAUGAUAACAAAAUAGAGUAAACAAAUAAUAAUAAAUGAGUAUACCCAUAUGCGGAUUCAAAAAUAAAGCUCUUCACGGGAACACAGUCAAAUAGUAGUUCGUAGUUGAAAACAUCAUCACCGGAGCACUGGAGUUUGCUGGAAAAUAUACAACUCUGGCUAAAUAAUAUUCGAAAUUAUAUUUUAACAAAUACAUUAAGAUGGAGGAGUGAUGAGUAGCGGCGUUGCUUCAACGGAGUUUCACCGGAGCAACGCCGGAGCAGAAGAUCUGGCCAGAUCUGAGCAUCAACAGUGAGAAAACCAUUUUCCCAUAAGCAAAAAAAUAAACCCAAAGGGAGAUGAGAGGGGACUGCCGUAAUGAUGGUGGUGACGCUGGUUGAUGCGUCGGAGCUUGGCCUGGCCGAUCAUCAAUUCCGGCGAGCCAGUGAAGAAAGUGAACCGGAAAGAGGGGAGAGGGAGGCGGUGGUGGCUGCAGGUGGGUGGUGGUCAUCGGGCGCCGGCCAUGGCUAUUGGCGGCAGUGAAUUUGGGAGAGAGAGAAAGAGGGAAGCCAUUAGUUUUGAGAGAGGGAGAGAGAAAAAGCCUGAUAUUCGUGCGUGUAUCUGCAUGGAUUGUG
Molecule: long non-coding RNA, 1327 nt
Filed under: Capsicum annuum
Lineage: Eukaryota; Viridiplantae; Streptophyta; Magnoliopsida; Solanales; Solanaceae
Description: long non-coding RNA (CANN_LNC011868)
Source: RNAcentral